UUAAAUCAGUUAUCGUUUAUUUGAUAGUACCUUACUACAUGGAUAACCGUGGUAAUUCUAGAGCUAAUACAUGCUAAAAACCCCGACUUCGGAAGGGGUGUAUUUAUUAGAUAAAAAACCAAUGCCCUUCGGGGCUCCUUGGUGAAUCAUAAUAACUUAACGGAUCGCAUGGCCUUGCGCCGGCGACGGUUCAUUCAAAUUUCUGCCCUAUCAACUUUCGAUGGUAAGGUAUUGGCUUACCAUGGUUUCAACGGGUAACGGGGAAUUAGGGUUCGAUUCCGGAGAGGGAGCCUGAGAAACGGCUACCACAUCCAAGGAAGGCAGCAGGCGCGCAAAUUACCCAAUCCCGACACGGGGAGGUAGUGACAAUAAAUACUGAUACAGGGCUCUUUUGGGUCUUGUAAUUGGAAUGAGUACAAUUUAAACCCCUUAACGAGGAACAAUUAGAGGGCAAGUCUGGUGCCAGCAGCCGCGGUAAUUCCAGCUCCAAUAGCGUAUAUUAAAGUUGUUGCAGUUAAAAAGCUCG
This 526-nucleotide ribosomal RNA is filed under the name uncultured eukaryote. RNAcentral describes it as "SSU rRNA". It matches the Rfam family "Eukaryotic small subunit ribosomal RNA", at positions 101 to 630 of the family's 1831-position model. The record is from RNAcentral.